Molecule: ribosomal RNA, 383 nt
Filed under: uncultured eukaryote
Lineage: Eukaryota
Description: partial 18S ribosomal RNA
Rfam family: Eukaryotic small subunit ribosomal RNA
Source: RNAcentral
UGUAAGCGUAUACCAAAGUUGUUGCAGUUAAAACGCUCGUAGUCGGAACUUGGCCGUGUCGGAUGAGUGCACGUCGUGUGCGCGCAUUGCAGAUAUGGCUUUUGUGGUUUCUGCGUACGAUGAGGCACGUUUAUUCGUGAACGUCGUUCCGCAGCCACUCUUUACUGUGAGAAAAUCAAAGUGCUCAAAGCAGGCAUUUGCCGUGAAUGUAUUAGCAUGGAAUAAUAGAAUAGGACUCGGCUCUAUUUUGUUGGUUUGUUGGGGCUGAGUAAUGAUUAAGAGGGACAGUUGGGGGCAUUUGUAUUUCGGCGCUAGAGGUGAAAUUCUUAGAUUGCCGAAAGACAAACUGCUGCGAAAGCGUCUGCCAAGGAUGUUUUCAUUGA